Helianthus annuus (common sunflower) is the source of this 692-nucleotide long non-coding RNA. RefSeq lists it as uncharacterized. The transcript has 3 exons. NCBI's taxonomy places the organism in Eukaryota, Viridiplantae, Streptophyta, Magnoliopsida, Asterales, Asteraceae. The record is from RefSeq and is a predicted model, not a curated record.
UGGCGAAACAUGAGUAACCCAUUGGUGGUUUUUAUGGCUCUCAUCUCCCACCUAAAUCACACUUAAUACCCUCUUAACACCAACCCAUUUCCUUAAUUCCCGAGACAUGUGAAUGCUUUAAUAACCAAAACCUCCACAACCAUUAUACAUAUCUUGUUCUACACCCUCACAACACCCCUCACGAACACACCUACUGUUUAAACAACCAAGAAACAUCCCGUUUGAAGUUCUCCGGAACCGUUCUGUCACUCUCGAAAACUCUCACCCACUCCCUCGUUAAUUUACGGCUGCCAGAGAUCGGAGUUCCAGAAACCUUGAGUCGCCGGAACCUUCAAGACUUCGCCGGAGAACGGAGAAGACGACCGGAGACCCACGACGUUCGUUUACGUGUUCGUGUGUUCGACAUUGGAGACCUUCGCUGGAACUGGGUUCGCAUCGGGCUUAACUGUUUGGCCACGUUUCGCGUCUGUCUCUUUUCCACUCAAUAAACGUUGCACCUACAAGACGAAGCCAAGGCCGGAACUCAUACCAUCGGUGUAGACUCACUCGCUUUGUGUUCGGUUAACCGUUUCGUUCGUUCGACUUUCCAAUCUUACUCGUGCGUACUUACAAGAAAUCACAACGCAACCAAUGUUGAGGAUGAUGAUGCUAUGAAAUGAAGUAGCGUUGAUGCCUAGAAACACAUAUAGACG